Small nuclear RNA from Vulpes vulpes (red fox), 125 nucleotides. NCBI's taxonomy places the organism in Eukaryota, Metazoa, Chordata, Mammalia, Carnivora, Canidae. The record is from Ensembl.
AUGCUGUAUGAAGGAAAGAAGGUUAGCAUUCCCCUUGACAAGGACAGAGAGGCCCUUGGGCCUGUACAACACACACAGAGUUAAGGCAUCAUCGCCUACUUGGUGGCAUCCAAACAUCGUUUUGA